This 464-nucleotide ribosomal RNA is filed under the name uncultured bacterium. RNAcentral describes it as "partial 16S ribosomal RNA". It matches the Rfam family "Bacterial small subunit ribosomal RNA", at positions 338 to 795 of the family's 1533-position model. The record is from RNAcentral.
CCUACGGGUGGCAGCAGUAGGGAAUUUUCGGCACUGGGGGGAACCCUGACCGAGCAACGCCGCGUGAAGGAAGAAGGAAUUCGUUCUGUCAACUUCUGUUAUCAAGGAAGAAAGACGGAUGGAGGAAAUGACAUCCGAGUGACGGUACUUUGUGAGAAAGCCACGGCAAACUACGUGCAAGCAGCCGCGGUAAUACGUAGGUGGCAAGGGUUAUCCGGAAUUAUGGGGGGUAAAGGUGGAGCAGGCGGCAGCAAAGGUCUGUGGUGAAAGACUGAAGCUUAACUUCGGUAAGCCAUAGAAACCGGGCAGCUAGAGUGCAGGAGAGGAUCGUGGAAUUCCAUGUGUAGCGGUGAAAUGCGUAGAUAUAAGGAGGAACACCAGUGGCGAAGGCGACGAUCUGGCCUGCAACUGACGCUCAGGCCCGAAAGCGUGGGUAUCGAACAGGAUUAGAUACCCCUGUAGUC